CAGAGUAGGGACGGCGCGUUAAGUGCCGGCGGAUGGGAAGUUGCCGCCGGACGAAAGCAAGCUUGCUGCGGUGCCGUACCCGCAUCCGCUGC
Molecule: non-coding RNA, 92 nt
Filed under: human gut metagenome
Description: THF riboswitch
Rfam family: THF (Tetrahydrofolate) riboswitch aptamer
About the family: THF riboswitch presents a pseudoknot that joins P1-P2 and the loop of P3 and two THF binding.
Source: RNAcentral